RNAcentral lists this unclassified non-coding RNA (357 nucleotides) under uncultured fungus. RNAcentral describes it as "sequence contains ITS1". The stretch from base 1 to 105 matches the Rfam family "5.8S ribosomal RNA", at positions 50 to 154 of the family's 154-position model. Lineage: Eukaryota; Fungi. The record is from RNAcentral.
GAAUUGCGAAAUGUAAUGUGAAUUGCAGAAUUCCGUGAAUCAUCGAAUCUUUGAACGCAUAUUGCGCUCUUUGGUCUUCCCAAGAGCAUGCCUGUUUGAGUAUCAGUAAACAAACACUCAUCUUCCAGAUGAGGAUAUGAGCAUUCGGGCUGCCUGUCAGCCUGUUGCUUGAAAUACAGUGGAGGUUGUCUUUGGCUACUUCUGGCUGGCGUAGUAGUUCUCGGUAGAGAUUCCAACGCCAUCAAAGUCAGAUUGUGCCGGCACUACCAUCGAUCAUUAAGCAAGGGGCGGCUAAAGGUCUUUAGCACUGCUCUUGAACUUGAUCUCAAAUCAGGCAAGACUACCCGCUGAAUUUAA